This 376-nucleotide long non-coding RNA is filed under the name Capsella grandiflora. Its description in RNAcentral is "long non-coding RNA (CGRA_LNC001120)". The record is from RNAcentral. Lineage: Eukaryota; Viridiplantae; Streptophyta; Magnoliopsida; Brassicales; Brassicaceae.
AGGUUAAUUAGGUACACCACCAUGUCUUAAACGCUGUAGGAUCCUGGGGUUUCACGCAGACGAGGAAGAACCUUGAAUCCACAUUUUUUGCUUCUUCUAUGCUUGGCCGAUAAUUCAAGGUAGUGUUUACUCUUUUCACGCUUCUGGGUCAAGAAAUCAUUUUCUUUUCUCCCCAAAGAAGUUCACUUUUCAUUGAAUUAGUUCGACACGUUUCUUCCUUGGACGAGAUUGACGCAAAUCCCUUAAUUUUAGCCAUUUGGGUUUUAGUUACAGUAGCAAAUGGCACUUCACAGUCUAGCAUGUAUGUAAUUUGGGUGAAAAGUUACGAUUUUUAUGUAUCAUAUGGGUUUGAUUUGAUUGAUUUCUGGUGUUUAAG